GCAGCGCCGCGGUAAAACGGAGGGUGCAAGCGUUAAUCGGAAUUACUGGGCGUAAAGCGCACGCAGGCGGUCUGACAAGUCAGAUGUGAAAUCCCCGGGCUUAACCUGGGAACUGCAUUUGAAACUGUCAGGCUGGAGUCUUGUAGAGGGGGGUGGAAUUCCAGGUGUAGCGGUGAAAUGCGUAGAGAUCUGGAGGAAUACCGGUGGCGAAGGCGGCCCCCUGGACAAAGACUGACGCUCAGGUGCGAAAGCGUGGGGAGCAAACAGGAUUAGAUACCCGCGUAGUCCCUGUCUCUUAUACA
This 302-nucleotide ribosomal RNA is filed under the name uncultured bacterium. RNAcentral describes it as "partial 16S ribosomal RNA". It matches the Rfam family "Bacterial small subunit ribosomal RNA", at positions 508 to 808 of the family's 1533-position model. The record is from RNAcentral.